RNAcentral lists this ribosomal RNA (512 nucleotides) under uncultured bacterium. Its description in RNAcentral is "partial 16S ribosomal RNA". It matches the Rfam family "Bacterial small subunit ribosomal RNA", at positions 28 to 523 of the family's 1533-position model. The record is from RNAcentral.
GAUGAACGCUGGCGGCGUGCCUAAUACAUGCAAGUCGAGCGAAUGACGAGGAGCUUGCUCCUCUGAUUUAGCGGCGGACGGGUGAGUAACACGUGGGUAACCUGCCUGUAAGACGGGGAUAACUCCGGGAAACCGGAGCUAAUACCGGAUGAUAACGAGAAGCGCCUGCUUCUUUUUUGAAAGUCGGUUUCGGCUGACGCUUACAGAUGGGCCCGCGGCGCAUUAGCUAGUUGGUGAGGUAACGGCUCACCAAGGCGACGAUGCGUAGCCGACAGGGGAGGGUGAUCGGCCACACUGGGACUGAGACACGGCCCAGACUCCUACGGGAGGCAGCAGUAGGGAAUCUUCGGCAAUGGACGAAAGUCUGACCGAGCAACGCCGCGUGAGCGAUGAAGGCCUUCGGGUCGUAAAGCUCUGUUGUCAGAGAAGAACAAGUACCGGAGUAACUGCCGGUACCUUGACGGUACCUGACCAGAAAGCCACGGCUAACUACGUGCCAGCAGCCGCCGUAA